Molecule: long non-coding RNA, 1179 nt
Organism: Manis pentadactyla (Chinese pangolin)
Lineage: Eukaryota; Metazoa; Chordata; Mammalia; Pholidota; Manidae
Exons: 10
Source: RefSeq, a predicted model, not a curated record
AGAUGAGUGAAAUCAUUAGGUACUUGUCUUUCUCUGCCUGGCUUAUUUCACUGAGCAUAAUACCCUCUAGCUCCAUCCAUGUUGUUGCAAAAGUAUUAACACUAACUUCAUUGAAGUUUUGGUGAAACUCAAUUACAAACUCUCUAGAUCUGACAUCCAUUUUAGAGAUUAUUCUGAUGCGUAACCAACAUUGAGAACCUCUUCCAUAAGUAUCUUCUAACUCCUAAAUGGAUUAGUGCCCAACUGGGCAUUUGUGUCCAUCAGAGUCUCCUAGCCACAUGGUUCAUCUCAAGAAAAUAAGUGCUAAACUUAGGAAGAACAUAGAGCAACUACCUAAGGACUGCUGGGACAAUGAGAUGCUAAUGUGUUAUUGGAUCAAAUAGUGAAAGCAUCUUGAUGCUGUAAAAGCUGUACAAAUAUUAUUUCAAAUAAUCGACUACUUAUUUCAGGGCCAAAGACUCCAGAGGCUACCCUUCCCUCUGAGCCUUAUACUUGUCCCCCAAAAUAGUAUACAGGAGAGAAAAUGUGGCAAGAAAUCUGUUUCUCUGGAAAGUCAAGAGAAAUGAGUGAUCCAAGAUGAGAAAAGGGACAGGCAGCGAAAGACAAGGAAGCAACUGGAAAAAUAGCAUAUCUGAUGGUCUCCAAGAUAUAUGAAUCUUUAGAUGGCCAGUAAAAGAGCUCUGAUACGGAAAGAUUUCACUCUGGACUGCUUUCCUCUAAAAGAAUUCUGAGCUACUUUCUGGAAAAAUUAUGACUAACAGGUUUUUAAAAAAAUAAACUUAAUGACAGUUCCAGGUGUCACAUGCUGGAUAAGGGCCAGGCUUGGAAUGAGACUUCCUGUUGAAAAUGGUCUUGGGACUAGGACUGAAUCAUAACACUGGCUUCCCUGGUUCUCCAGCUUGCAAUGCAUAGUUGUGGGACUUCUCAACCUUCAAAACCAAGACAAGCAAGGAAACAACUGAGUCACUGGAGGAUAUGCAGAUUUCUGGGAUGACAGGGAGGUGGGUCUAGAAAGCUGCUCCACAGGAAUCGUCUAACAAAGCCACUUCCGCAGCACCUGGAGACUUUGGGACCCUUGAGAGUUGUAGACCUUCCUUACGGGAGGAAGAACUGCGAGAAGCUGGAUUCAGAUCCAAUCCCUCCUGCAGGAAGAGUUCAAGAGUCUAGUCCAAGCUGCCC